RNAcentral lists this ribosomal RNA (172 nucleotides) under Endozoicomonas sp. OPT23. Its description in RNAcentral is "partial 16S ribosomal RNA". It matches the Rfam family "Bacterial small subunit ribosomal RNA", at positions 1 to 166 of the family's 1533-position model. The record is from RNAcentral. Lineage: Bacteria; Pseudomonadati; Pseudomonadota; Gammaproteobacteria; Oceanospirillales; Endozoicomonadaceae.
UUAAACUGAAGAGUUUGAUCAUGGCUCAGAUUGAACGCUGGCGGCAGGCCUAACACAUGCAAGUCGAGCGGUAACAGAACUAGCUUGCUAGUUGCUGACAAGCGGCGGACGGGUGCGUAACACGUAGGAAUCUACCCAGUAGCGGGGGAUAGCCCGGAGAAAUCCGGAUUAA